RNAcentral lists this ribosomal RNA (513 nucleotides) under uncultured bacterium. RNAcentral's name for it is "partial 16S ribosomal RNA". It matches the Rfam family "Bacterial small subunit ribosomal RNA", at positions 28 to 523 of the family's 1533-position model. The record is from RNAcentral.
GACGAACGCUGGCGGCGUGCCUAAUACAUGCAAGUUGAGCGCUGAAGGUUGGUACUUGUACCGACUGGAUGAGCAGCGAACGGGUGAGUAACGCGUGGGGAAUCUGCCUUUGAGCGGGGGACAACAUUUGGAAACGAAUGCUAAUACCGCAUAAAAACUUUAAACACAAGUUUUAAGUUUGAAAGAUGCAAUUGCAUCACUCAAAGAUGAUCCCGCGUUGUAUUAGCUAGUUGGUGAGGUAAAGGCUCACCAAGGCGAUGAUACAUAGCCGACCUGAGAGGGUGAUCGGCCACAUUGGGACUGAGACACGGCCCAAACUCCUACGGGAAGCAGCAGUAGGGAAUCUUCGGCAAUGGACGAAAGUCUGACCGAGCAAGGCCGCGUGAGUGAAGAAGGUUUUCGGAUCGUAAAACUCUGUUGGUAGAGAAGAACGUUGGUGAGAGUGGAAAGCUCAUCAAGUGACGGUAACUACCCAGAAAGGGACGGCUAACUACGUGCCAGCCGCCGCGGUAA